CAAAAGGCCCUUUUCAGGGCUUCCCAAUUUUCCUUGUAAGGAGCUGU
Bos taurus (domestic cattle) is the source of this 47-nucleotide non-coding RNA. Lineage: Eukaryota; Metazoa; Chordata; Mammalia; Artiodactyla; Bovidae. The record is from Rfam.